ACGGAGGUGGCGAGCGUUGUUCGGAUUUACUGGGCGUAAAGGGCGCGUAGGCGGCGGAGUGUGUCGGGUGUGAAAUCCCAGGGCCCAACCCUGGAAGUGCGCCCGAAACUGCUCCGCUGGAGUGCGGGAGGGGAGAUCGGAAUACAUGGUGUAGCGGUGAAAUGCGUUGAUAUCAUGUGGAACACCGGUGGCGAAGGCGGAUCUCUGGAACGCAACUGACGCUGAGGCGCGAAAGCCGGGGGACCAAACAG
RNAcentral lists this ribosomal RNA (251 nucleotides) under uncultured prokaryote. Its description in RNAcentral is "partial 16S rRNA". It matches the Rfam family "Bacterial small subunit ribosomal RNA", at positions 525 to 775 of the family's 1533-position model. The record is from RNAcentral.